GCAGUGUGGUUAAAGCGCUCGGCUGCUAACCAAGCGGAUGGUGGUUCAAAUCCACC
RNAcentral lists this transfer RNA (56 nucleotides) under Loxodonta africana (African savanna elephant). It matches the Rfam family "tRNA", at positions 10 to 63 of the family's 71-position model. Rfam says of the family: Transfer RNA (tRNA) molecules are approximately 80 nucleotides in length. Their secondary structure includes four short double-helical elements and three loops (D, anti-codon, and T loops). Further hydrogen bonds mediate the characteristic L-shaped molecular structure. tRNAs have two regions of fundamental functional importance: the anti-codon, which is responsible for specific mRNA codon recognition, and the 3' end, to which the tRNAs corresponding amino acid is attached (by aminoacyl-tRNA synthetases). tRNAs cope with the degeneracy of the genetic code in two manners: having more than one tRNA (with a specific anti-codon) for a particular amino acid; and 'wobble' base-pairing, i.e. permitting non-standard base-pairing at the 3rd anti-codon position. The record is from Rfam by way of RNAcentral. Lineage: Eukaryota; Metazoa; Chordata; Mammalia; Proboscidea; Elephantidae.